RNAcentral lists this ribosomal RNA (490 nucleotides) under uncultured bacterium. RNAcentral describes it as "partial 16S ribosomal RNA". It matches the Rfam family "Bacterial small subunit ribosomal RNA", at positions 30 to 507 of the family's 1533-position model. The record is from RNAcentral.
AUUGAACGCUGGCGGCAGGCCUAACACAUGCAAGUCGAACGGUAACAGGGAUCAGCUUGCUGUUUCGCUGCCGCGUGGCGGACGGGUGUGAAAUGUCCGUGAAACUGCCUGCUGGAGGGGGAUAACUACUGGAAACGGUAGCUAAUACCGCAUAACGUCGCAAGCCCAAAGGGGGGGACCUUCGGGCCUCUUGUCAUCGGAUGUGCCCAGAUGGGAUUAGUUAGUAGGUGGGGUAACGGCUCACCUAGGCGACGAUCCCUAGCUGGUCUGAGAGGAUGACCAGCCACACUGGAACUGAGACACGGUCCAGACUCAUACGGGAGGCAGCGGAGGGGAAUAUUGCACAAUGGGCGCAAGCCUGAUGCAGCCAUGCCGCGUGUAUGAAGGGAGCCUUCGGGUUGUAAAGUUCUUUCAGCGGGGAGGAAGGGAGUAGAGUUAAUACCUUUGCUCAUUGACGGUACCCGAAGAAGAAGCACCGGCUAACUCCGUG